Molecule: unclassified non-coding RNA, 314 nt
Filed under: Hevea brasiliensis (rubber tree)
Lineage: Eukaryota; Viridiplantae; Streptophyta; Magnoliopsida; Malpighiales; Euphorbiaceae
Source: RNAcentral
AUUACCAAGUUCAUCAACAACAACAUUACUCCAUGUUUGCCCCUCAGAGGCACAAUCACGGCGUCUGGUGACCUGGUUCCAUUGUCCUACAUUGCUGGGCUUUUGACCGGGCGGCCCAAUUCCAAGUCAGUAGGGCCCAACGGAGAAUCCUUGGAUGCAUCUGAAGCCUUUAAGCUAGCUGGGAUUAACGGUGGAUUCUUUGAAUUGCAGCCCAAAGAGGGUCUAGCUCUAGUAAAUGGUACUGCAGUUGGUUCUGGGUUGGCUUCUAUGGUUCUUUUUGAGGCCAAUGUGUUGGCAAUCCUAUCAGAAGUUUU